GGAAUGCGAGUGCCUAGUGGGCCACUUUUGGUAAGCAGAACUGGCGCUGCAGGAUGAACCGAAUGCCGGGUUAAGGUGCCCGAUGCCGAUGCUCAUCAGACCCCAGAAAAGGUGUUGGUUGAUAUAGACAGCAGGACAGUAGCCAUGGAAGUUGGAAUCCACUAAGGAGUGUGUAACAAUUCACCUGCCGAAUCAACUAGCCCUGAAAAUGGAUGGCACUGGAGCAUCGGGCCCAUACCCUGCCAUUGCUGGCAGUCGAGCACACAUUGAGAGGGGGACAGGAGCCUUCCCAAACCCACCACGGAUGCUACACCAUGACGAGUAGGAGAGCCACUAUGGUGAGUCUUGAAGCCUAUGGUGCGGGCCCGGGUGGAGCUGCCACAGGUGCAGAUCUUGGUGGUAGUAGCAAAUAUUCAAAUGAGAACUUUGAAGGCCAAAGUGGAGAAAGGUUCCAUGUGAACAGCAGUUGAACAUGGGUCAGUCGGUCCUAAGAGAUGGGUGAGUGCCAUUCUGAAGGGAUGGGCGAUGGCCUCUGUUGCCCUCGGCCGAUCAAAAGGGAGUUGGGUUCAGAUCUCCAAAUCCGAAGUGGCGGAGAUGGGUGCCACGAGGCAUCCAGUGCAGUAAUGCAACUGUCCCAGAGAAGCUGGCGGGAUCCCCAGGGAGAGUUCUCUUUUCUUUGUGAAGGACAUGGCUCCCUGGAAUGGGUUCGCCCCGAGAGAGGGGCCCAUGCCUUGGAAAGUGUCGCAGUUCCGGCGGUGUCCGGUGAGCUCUCGCUGGCCCUUGAAAUUUGGGGCAGAGGAUGUAAAUCUCACACCAGGCCGUACCUGUAUCUGCAGCAGGUCCCCAAGGUGAACAGCCUCUGGCAUGUUGGAACAAUGUAGGUAAGGGAAGUUGACAAGCUGGAUCCGUAAUUUUGGGAUAAGGAUUGGCUCUAAAGGCUGAUAGUUCGGCUGGGCACGAAGCGGGCUGGCAUGUGCUUGACUGAUGAGCGCUGCACCCCCCACACUGUGCAUCCCUCCCCAUAGCCCACGCUCCCCCUCUACCCUCGACACUCGUCCACUCGCAUGGCCAUCCCGGUACAAAGCCCGCUUACAUCUCCAUCUCUCUUCCCCUGCCCGGGGAGGGGGCAGCUGUGAUGGGGGUUUCCAGCGGCAGCUGGGGGUCCUGCGGGGCUCGGGGAUGGGAAGCAGGUCAGGCCCACCACAGGGGAACGGGGGGUCUGGCCACCUGGGGGGCCAGUGGUAGUGGCGACUCUGGAUGCAAGCCAGGUCCUUCCCAUGGAUUGCCCCAGCUGUGGCAGGCAUCGCGGCCGUACCCAGGGAGCCUGACGCGCCCCGGCGCACCCUGCCGCAGUUGGGGGUCCAGAUCUGGGGGCAACACUGGCUGGUGGUGCAGCGUGAGUGCUGGGCGUCCCCGCCCAUCGUCCCACUUGCCCAUCUCUCUCUCCCACCCCCAUUCCACCCUGUCCCAUGGUGGCAGACCACAUCGAUCCCCCCCUGCUGGGUCUGCCCCCGUGGCCGCAGUUCUGUGUGGCGCCUCGCCUCGGCCGGCGUCUAGCAGCCAAAUUAGAACUGGUGUGGACCAGGGGAAUCUGACUGUUUAAUUAAAACAAAGCAUCAAAAAGGCCCACGGCGGGUGUUGACGCGAUGUGAUUUCUACCCAGUGGUCUGAAUGUCAAAGUGAAGAAAUUCAAUGAAGCACUGGUUAAUGGGGGGAGUAACUAUGACUCUCUUUAGGUAGCCAAAUGCCUCGUCAUCUAAUUAGUGACGUGCAUGAAUGGAUGAACGAGAUUCCCACUGUCCCUGUCUACUAUCCAGUGAAACCACAGUCAAGGGAACAAGCUUGAUGGAAUCAGUGGGGAAGAAGACCCUGUUGAGCUUGACUCUAGUCUGGCACAGUGAAGAGACAUGAGAGGUAUAGAAUAAGUGGGAGGCCCCCAGUGCCCUCCCGCCCCCACGAGGGGGUGGGAUGGGGUCUGCUGGCCUUGAGGGCUGCCGGUGAAAUACCACUACUCUUAUCGUUUUUUCACUGAGCCAGUGAGGUGCAGGGCGAGCCCCAAGGGGCUCUCACUUCUGGCACCAAGCAACUGGCUGGCAUCAGCUGGGCACAACUCGCUCUGGGAACAGUGCCAGGUGGGGAGUUUGACUGGGGUGGUACACCUGUCAAAUGGUAAUGCAGGUGUCCUAAGGCGAGUUCAGGGAGGACAGAAACCUCCCAUGGAAUGGAAGGGCAAAAGCUCGCUUGAUCUUGAUUUUCACUACAAAUACAGACCAUGAAAAUGGGGCCUCAUGAUCCUUCUGACUUUUUGGGUUUUAAGCAGGAGAUGUCAGAAGAGUCACCACAGGGAUAACUGGCUUGUGGCAGCCAAGUGUUCAUAGUGACGUCGCUUUUUGAUCCUUAGAUGUUGGCUCUUCCUAUCAUUGUGAAACAGAAUUCACCAAGCGUUGGAUUGUUCACCUACUAAUAGGGAACGUGAGCUGGGUUUAGACCGUCAUGAGACAGAUUAGUUUUACCCUACUGAUGAUGCUGUAAGUUGCCAUGGUAAUCCUGCUCAGUAUGAGAGGA
RNAcentral lists this ribosomal RNA (2565 nucleotides) under Tupaia belangeri (northern tree shrew). RNAcentral's name for it is "eukaryotic LSU rRNA". It matches the Rfam family "Eukaryotic large subunit ribosomal RNA", at positions 1110 to 3042 of the family's 3401-position model. The record is from RNAcentral. Lineage: Eukaryota; Metazoa; Chordata; Mammalia; Scandentia; Tupaiidae.